CCCUUAGAUGUUCUGGGCCGCACGCGCGCUACACUGAUGCAUUCAACGAGUGUACCUUGGCCGAGAGGCCUGGGCAAUCUUUUGAACGUGCAUCGUGAUAGGGAUAGAUUAUUGCAAUUAUUAAUCUUGAACGAGGAAUUCCUAGUAAACGCAGUUCAUCAAACUGCAUUGAUUACGUCCCUGCCCUUUGUACACACCGCCCGUCGCACCUACUGAUUGGAUGGUCCGGUGAAGCCUCGGGAUUGUGGCGGUUGCCUUUAUUGGUGGCCGCCGCGAGAACUUGUCUAAACCUUAUCAUCUAGAGGAAGGUGAAGUCGUAACA
This 322-nucleotide ribosomal RNA is filed under the name uncultured eukaryote. RNAcentral describes it as "partial 18S ribosomal RNA". It matches the Rfam family "Eukaryotic small subunit ribosomal RNA", at positions 1470 to 1796 of the family's 1831-position model. The record is from RNAcentral.